UACUUAAUAGAAAAAAUGUAUUAGAGGGCUAUAUCUUAUCAAUGCGGUAAAGUUAAAAACUUCAUUAUAGAUUAUAAAGAAAGUGGAUAAUUGCUAAAUCUUUUUUCAUUAGGUUGCACUACUAAAACCUUUAUGCUAGAGAAUGGAAAUAGUCAUAUCAGUGAUGCAAAUAAUAGCAAAGAAUUAUGUAACUAAAUAGCUCAAGUGGUUCCAUG
This 215-nucleotide long non-coding RNA is filed under the name Panax ginseng (ginseng). RNAcentral's name for it is "long non-coding RNA (PGIN_LNC006937)". Lineage: Eukaryota; Viridiplantae; Streptophyta; Magnoliopsida; Apiales; Araliaceae. The record is from RNAcentral.